RNAcentral lists this unclassified non-coding RNA (192 nucleotides) under Phomopsis sp. DZF-S1c. Its description in RNAcentral is "partial ITS1". Lineage: Eukaryota; Fungi; Ascomycota; Sordariomycetes; Diaporthales; Diaporthaceae. RNAcentral also lists the same sequence under 1 other name. The record is from RNAcentral.
UGCGGAGGGAUCAUUGCUGGAACGCGCCCCAGGCGCACCCAGAAACCCUUUGUGAACUUAUACCUUACUGUUGCCUCGGCGCAUGCCGGCCCCCCUGGGGGCCCCUCCUUCGGGAGGAGCAGGCACGCCGGCGGCCAACCCAACUCUUGUUUUUACACUGAAACUCUGAGAAUAAAACAUAAAUGAAUCAAA